This 791-nucleotide ribosomal RNA is filed under the name uncultured bacterium. RNAcentral's name for it is "bacterial SSU rRNA". It matches the Rfam family "Bacterial small subunit ribosomal RNA", at positions 8 to 796 of the family's 1533-position model. The record is from RNAcentral.
AGAGUUUGAUCCUGGCUCAGAUUGAACGCUGGCGGCAUGCCUUACACAUGCAAGUCGAACGGCAGCGCGGGGCAACCUGGCGGCGAGUGGCGAACGGGUGAGUAAUAUAUCGGAACGUACCCUGGAGUGGGGGAUAACGUAGCGAAAGUUACGCUAAUACCGCAUACGAUCUAAGGAUGAAAGCAGGGGACCGCAAGGCCUUGUGCUCCUGGAGCGGCCGAUAUCUGAUUAGCUAGUUGGUGGGGUAAAGGCCUACCAAGGCAUCGAUCAGUAGCUGGUCUGAGAGGACGACCAGCCACACUGGAACUGAGACACGGUCCAGACUCCUACGGGAGGCAGCAGUGGGGAAUUUUGGACAAUGGGCGCAAGCCUGAUCCAGCAAUGCCGCGUGAGUGAAGAAGGCCUUCGGGUUGUAAAGCUCUUUUGUCAGGGAAGAAACGGUGAGAGCUAAUAUCUCUUGCUAAUGACGGUACCUGAAGAAUAAGCACCGGCUAACUACGUGCCAGCAGCCGCGGUAAUACGUAGGGUGCAAGCGUUAAUCGGAAUUACUGGGCGUAAAGCGUGCGCAGGCGGUUUUGUAAGUCUGUCGUGAAAUCCCCGGGCUCAACCUGGGAAUUGCGAUGGAGACUGCAAGGCUAGAAUCUGGCAGAGGGGGGUAGAAUUCCACGUGUAGCAGUGAAAUGCGUAGAGAUGUGGAGGAACACCGAUGGCGAAGGCAGCCCCCUGGGUCAAGAUUGACGCUCAUGCACGAAAGCGUGGGGAGCAAACAGGAUUAGAUACCCUGGUAGUCG